RNAcentral lists this long non-coding RNA (2020 nucleotides) under Panax ginseng (ginseng). RNAcentral's name for it is "long non-coding RNA (PGIN_LNC018136)". The record is from RNAcentral. Lineage: Eukaryota; Viridiplantae; Streptophyta; Magnoliopsida; Apiales; Araliaceae.
UGCAUGUAAUUUAAGCCGCUAAUGAGCUUGUCCUGUGUCCCACUAAUUAAAAAAUCAAAGCAGAUAAAGAAAUACUCAAAAGAAGGAAAAGUAGUAAAUUAAUUUGAUUCUUAUUCUCUUUCUACGUACUACUGGAGUCAAAUGUAUGAUUUGGCAUCCAAGAACCCCUGUUUCCUUCUCAUUUUACAAUGAAAGAUUGGGCUGCUCCGCUCAUUGCCGCCGCGCUGUUUGCAUUUCUAGCGCCGGGACUGCUGUUUCAACUUCCAGGAAAGCAUAAACCCUUCGAGUUUAUGAACAUGAAGACUACUAUAGCCUCCAUGUUUUUGCACACUGUCCUUUAUGGUUUGCUUCUUAUUCUGUUCCUUGUAGUUCUUGACAUCCAUCUUUACGCCUAAGAGCUAGCUAGCUAGCUACCUACUCCAUGAAGUAUUAAAGUUUCUUCUCUUGUACUUAAAUUUAUAUAUGUACUCAUCAUCAUGUUGCUGCCAUUACUCCUCUAGCUAGUUUGUUUUCUUACUAAAGCAGGCAAGCAGCAGAGUUCUGUGAUUCAAAUCAGCUUUUAGGUGUUCUUUAUGUUCAUGUCGAGUUAAUGGAAAACUUGAAAUUAUGGCUUUUAGCAUGUCUAGAAAACUAACUCAACUACGACUGACCUUAAAAUAAGCCAUCCCAACUACUUGUAUAAAAGUAAAGGCACACAAGGGGAGGGGAGCAAUUGCAGUUUUUAUUUUAUUUUUCACUUGCAGAUUUGUUAAUCAUGCUAAGAAUAAGACAUGUGCAACCAAAAAAGGGUUGAUCUAUUUGAUAUAUUACACUUUUGCUAUCAGAUUGCUUACAGAAUCAUAACUAACUCUAGUAUAUUUUGGUUUCAGUAGCUUAAUGCUUUUGGGUGUACUGUUGUUAGAUCUAUAGAGAUUACUCAGCCUCAAGUUAACAGUACAAUUGCUGGCUCUCUAUCUACAUGAAAAAAUAGAUAUUAUUAUAUAGGCCUGAUCUGAAUAUUGGACUUGAUAAAUACAUUAAUCUGACAUUCAAUUAAUUUGGAUGGCAUUUUGUGACGGUUAAAAAUGGUGGUUGACCUAUUGCACACUCCCAAGAGGUAGUAGCUACAGGUUCCUCGGUUACCAAUAAAUGUUGUCAAUAAACUAUACUUUUGAGUCCUUUAUAUAUGUUUUCUAUGGACAUAUAUCAAUAUAUAUUAAUAUCAAAUUUUAAAAUAUUAUUAAUUAUAAUUAUCCACGAGGUACCUCGUAACUAAAAUAACGCAAUAUAUAUUAUUAUCCAACUCUUUUUUUUUCAUCUUCCCAACUCUUGAGCUAUCUUAUCUAUUGGUAGUUUGGUACUACUUCAGUACUUCCUAUACUACUAGUCAUGCCAUAACUACACUAACAAAAACAUAGAAUAAACAAACAUCAUUGCAAAUUCCAAGGUCACCCGGGCCAAGCUCCUCCGGCAAAAACACCUAGCACAUGAAAACACACUAAUAAAUCAAAUUACAGCUCUAGAUCCAAUCUAGGUCUAUGUCUAUCAAUGGGUCAGUCAGUAUCAAGACUAGAUAAACCAAAGCAGUCUAUGGGAAGUUUUAGGAAUGAAAUUUAUAGGAAGAUUAGCGGGGAACCGCUAGGAAUCAGUACUAGUACUGUGUUCACUGCUAUGUGCUAAAGACUGCGGAAUAAGAUGUAAGACCCCAAAUUAUUAAUAAAUGAAAUUUAUUUUCCUCUAUUUAUUAUUUUGAAAUAGUAAAGGUUGAUUUGAUUAAUGUGGAUAGUUAUGGGUAAAAUACGCAAAUAUUUCGAAUAAGCAAGUGGUUAUAAAAUAUUCAUUAUUAUCGGGGAAUAUUCGUUUGGUCGUGGAAUAUUCGUACUGUCGGGGAAUAUUCGUACGACGGCGCAGUCUUUUGUGAGCCCCAUAACGGAAAGCUAUUGGAUGAAGAAAACGACAAAUAUAAGUUGUUUAUAAAUAAUGGUGUAGUUGUUACCGUUAAUACUGUUGGAAUACCCGAUGGUUAAAACACACUAAUACG